This 377-nucleotide long non-coding RNA is filed under the name Androctonus crassicauda. The record is from RNAcentral. Lineage: Eukaryota; Metazoa; Arthropoda; Arachnida; Scorpiones; Buthidae.
AGAAAGAUAGAAUAUUUGACACCAAUAAAAAAUUGCAGCGAAUAUAUAGAGAAGCUUACUAAUAUGAAGCUAGUUUUUAAAAGGAAAAAUGUAGUUUUCAGUAUGUUGCGCAAUGACAAACCGAUGAUUAAUAUGGAGAGUAGGUCGGGAAUGUACAAAAUUCCUUUAAAAAAUAUGGACUUGAGAAGAGAUGAAAUAUAUAUUGGUUCAACGAAUAGGUCCUUAAUAGCACAUAUCAAGGAACACAAAAAUGACAUAAAAAUUAGGUUCGUUCAACACAGCGCUGGCGACUACAGCAUAUGAACAUGAUAUUGAUAUAGAGUGGAACAAUGCGAAGAUUAUUAUGAGUGCAAUGGAAAAUACCAACAUAAGGAGAU